Molecule: ribosomal RNA, 484 nt
Filed under: uncultured bacterium
Lineage: Bacteria
Description: partial 16S ribosomal RNA
Rfam family: Bacterial small subunit ribosomal RNA
Source: RNAcentral
GAUGAACGCUGGCGGCGUGCUUAACACAUGCAAGUCGAACGGGAUCCAUCAGGCUUUGCUUGGUGGUGAGAGUGGCGAACGGGUGAGUAAUGCGUGACCGACCUGCCCCAUUCACCGGAAUAGCUCCUGGAAACGGGUGGUAAUGCCGGAUGCUCCAGUUGAUCGCAUGGUCUUCUGGGAAAGCUUUCGCGGUAUGGGAUGGGGUCGCGUCCUAUCAGCUUGACGGCGGGGUAACGGCCCACCGUGGCUUCGACGGGUAGCCGGCCUGAGAGGGCGAGCGGCCACGUUGGGACUGAGAUACGGCCCAGACUCCUACGGGAGGCAGCAGUGGGGAAUAUUGCACAAUGGGCGCAAGCCUGAUGCAGCGAAGCCGCGUGAGGGAUGGAGGCCUUCGGGUUGUAAACCUCUUUUAUCGGGGAGCAAGCGAGAGUGAGUUUACCCGUUGAAUAAGCACCGGCUAACUACGUGCCAGCCGCCGCCGUAA